Molecule: long non-coding RNA, 1024 nt
Organism: Prunus dulcis (almond)
Lineage: Eukaryota; Viridiplantae; Streptophyta; Magnoliopsida; Rosales; Rosaceae
Exons: 2
Source: RefSeq, a predicted model, not a curated record
GCCAAAAGAGCUUGGCCAGCAAAGCUUCCAUUAUUGGUGCCUCUUGCUCAUCAUAGCUCUUGGCCAGCAAAUCUUCAGUUUCUACACCUAUAAUUAAACAUACUGGUGGGCCCCUCUUGUGGCUUUGGUGGACUGGAGUGGCUGGGAGGAAGAGUCGGAGGCAGAGUCAUCGGAUGCCAUUUUGAGGCUGGGAAUGUAAUCCUGAAGCAUAUCAGCCACGUCCUUGAAGCGCCUGAGAUAGAGCAGAGACCUGGCUUUGAGUUCAAGGGCUUGUUCCAGGCGAGGCGAGAUGGCCAGAGCCGCGUCCAGGAGCCCCACAGCCGAAGCGAUCUCGCUCUGUUCAUGAGUCGCAAUCAGGCUUCUGGCAUCUCUCAUAUACUUUUCCACAAUCUUUCUACUGCUAAGCCACCAGUGCUUCUUCUCAUCGGAAGACAGACAAGGAGAAGUAGCAGUCAUUCUUCUUCUUCUUCUUCUUGUUCCAGAAAUUCAGUAACAAGAAGGGCCAGAAGGAAAGCUGUGCCCAUGAAGUCUGUGACAUUGUUGGCCGCUUUGGAUGGAGAUAAAUGCAUAUACUUUGAUAAGUAAAGCACCAAAUUGCUUGCAUUUGCCAGAUAUGCCAAGUUCUCCAAUAUCUCCGCCACCAAGACAAAGGAGGCGGCAAGCAUGCCACCAUGGCGGCCUCUGAUUGCAGCUCUGUUCCUCCAGUCAACAUAGCCUUCCCAUCUGGUGCUCAGCUGCUGUUCUUGUUCCAUUUUCUCUGUCUCUUUUUUUUUUUUUUUUUUUUCACUUGGGUUCUAAUUAAUUUGGAUCCUUCGGUGGCAGAGGAUUUUGAUUUCUGGGUUUCAUCAGAGAAUUCAGCUGGUAUUGUUAAAGCGAAUUCGUGCUGAUAACGUGUUAUAAAUCUAGAGGAAAUUGUAGAGAGGGAAUUAAGAUAUAGAGAAAGUAUAGAAACUGAUCUCUUUAUUGAAGGUUUUUGUUCCCAGUUACAAGUGAGGGGAAAGCCUUAUUUGUAGGCAAAACAUUG